This 103-nucleotide ribosomal RNA is filed under the name Staphylococcus aureus. RNAcentral describes it as "partial 23S ribosomal RNA". It matches the Rfam family "Bacterial large subunit ribosomal RNA", at positions 1 to 103 of the family's 2925-position model. The record is from RNAcentral. Lineage: Bacteria; Bacillati; Bacillota; Bacilli; Caryophanales; Staphylococcaceae. RNAcentral also lists the same sequence under 1 other name.
GAUUAAGUUAUUAAGGGCGCACGGUGGAUGCCUUGGCACUAGAAGCCGAUGAAGGACGUUACUAACGACGAUAUGCUUUGGGGAGCUGUAAGUAAGCUUUGAU